AACGAACGCUGGCGGCAUGCCUAACACAUGCAAGUCGAACGAGACCUUCGGGUCUCGUGGCGCACGGGUGCGUAACGCGUGGGAACCUGCCCUUAGGUUCGGAAUAACUCCCCGAAAGGGGUGCUAAUAACGGGUAAUGUCUUCGGACCAAAGAUUUAUCGCCCUUGGAUGGGCCCGCGUUGGAUUAGCUAGUUGGUAGGGUAAAAGCCUACCAACGCGACGAUCCAUAGCUGGUCUGAGAGGAUGAUCAGCCACACUGGGACUGAGACACGGCCCAGACUCCUACGGGAGGCAGCAGUGUGGAAUACUGGACAAUGGGCGAAAGCCUGAGCCAGCAAUGCCGCGUGAGUGAUGAAGGCCUUAGGGUUGUAAAGCUCUUUUACCCGGGAUGAUAAUGACAGUACCGUGAGAAUAAGCUCCGGCUAACUCCGUG
Molecule: ribosomal RNA, 433 nt
Filed under: uncultured bacterium
Lineage: Bacteria
Description: partial 16S ribosomal RNA
Rfam family: Bacterial small subunit ribosomal RNA
Source: RNAcentral